AGACGGCUGCCGCCUAGCACAGCAAGCUAUCGAGCUAACUAGUUAGCCUCUCCAUUAUACUUGUUCUAAACGUAAGAAAGUGUUUCAAACAGUAAGAAGGAAAAAGAAGUCUUACCAUUUCCACACAGAACGGGAUGAGCACCUUUUCUCCACUCCACGGCCAGUCUCCAUGCAGUGCGAAAGGUAAUGUAAAAUAACGUCAUGUCUUAUAACAGUACUGAUGCCUAGUGACCGCAAUACUACAACAACUCUAUAGAUGGAUGAGAUGUUUCAUUGUGGAGUUUAUGUUGUGUUUUCAAGUCUAUAGGAGUAGUGGGUACAUGACUUCCUGUUAGAUGUCUGAAAGGGUACAACGCUGUGAAAAGUUGCCACCUUUGGUCACUUUUGACAAACGCGGCUCUGUGGUGCAGAACUUUACUUCAGCCUAACUAACGUUUCCACUUGGACGCAUUUCACUGCAGCACACAACUUUGCGUGUGGAGGAGCUGUGAAUAAAACCGCGUCUCGCAUGAACUGCAAGCGUAUUUCUUCCUCCAACUCCACCACAACGACGUAUGCUCGACCACUCCUCUUCAAAGGUGGCAGGAAUGUUUGCCGUUGCCACAAAGAUGCUGAUGAAGAGGCAGGGGACAGAUCCCAGCAUUCCUCCAGCACAGAUGAGCGGAUCUGCAUUGGACACUUUGUCCUUCAAGAAUCUGGACAGACCAGUGCCAAGACACACUCCGAGAAUGCCUGAGACCACCGUGACGGCGCCAAAGAUAAAACUGUACUGGGAGCGGAGUCAGAGAGCAAUGUCAAAAGUCUGCAGGUAUGACGAAUGACAGCAAAGAAGCAGAGAUGCACACUGCACCUGUCCGUGGAGUUGCACAGCCCUUUCGAGCACGGGGGGAGGAGUCCCUGAGACACCCGAGCUCUGAACAGAAAGGUGGGCAUCCAGAAAGCCAGGGCUCCAGUAAGGAAGGCCAUUGCUGUUACACCCAGAGAUGACCACACGUAACUUUUACUGGCGUGAGAGAACAAUAACAGCUUACAUAGAAAUCACGCUCAGUUCAUGUCACAGCAUUAGUUUCCAUGCCGUACUUUUUCAGAAGAUACUUGACGUCCUCCAGGUAGGAGCUCUGGUCAUGAACACCGUGACCAUUGUUUUCCGCAGCACCUCUGGAUGGGUUUGGGCAUAAGAGCACCAGUAAAAUAAGCCCAACGAGACCAAAAAUGGGAGUGAGCUGUCAACACAACAACAUGCAAAGCAACCUAUGGUUGUUAGCGGUUCAUUCAUGUUUUCAAUAUGAACUAUGAGUUCUCACCCUGAGAGACCAGUGCCAGUCUCCAGUGAGGCUGGCUAUUGAUGACCCUGCGAUGUAGCCAAGACCGCUAAAAACACAAACAAAAGUAAUUUGCGGAGGAUCAGUGCACUAUCUUGGUUAGGCCAUAAUAUGAUAGCGUUCGUAUUGGAAGAUCUAUUGUCAGAACCUUCCAACAGGGAUGAAGAUGUAGAAAGCAGAGAUCAUGAUGGUCCGUUGUGUGCCAGUGAAAAGGUCCCCGAUGAUGGUGGGAGCGAUAGUGGAGUAGCUCGCCUCUCCUAUCCCGACAAGGCCUCGUAACAGCACCAGAAGCCAAAAAUACUUGGGAGAUAGAUAGAUGGAUAUCAAAUGGCAAAAUACAUCAUUUUCACAAUAAGAUACAGCACAAACUCUUCACAUGCUAAAAACAAGCAUCAUCAAAGUAAAACAGUAGUCUUCCCAACCCCACCCUAACUCUAUCCCAGUCACCCAUGAACCCAACCCACCCCAAACCCCAUCCCGACCCCGAACCACCCCAUCCAGAACACAGUAAUAUCGGGUAAAACAGGCACAGCAUAACUAUUUGAGAAGGGAUGCCCAAACUUUUUCCACUGAGAGCCACAGUGAAAAAUGAAAGGAUGCAAGGGCCACCCUCAUAUUAUGUAAAGCAACACGUGUAGUUAUGCCAAGUAGUUAUUUGUACGCUGAUGGGAAAAAGUGUUUGCCCCCCUUCUGAUUUCUUAUGCUUUUGCAUGUUUGGCCCACUUAAAUGUUUCAGAUCAUCAAACAAAUGUAAAUAUUAGUCAAUGACAACACAACUCAACACAAAAUGCCGCUUUUGAAUGAAACUUUUUAUUAUUAAAGGAGAAAAAGAAAUCUAAAGCUACAUGGCCCUGUGUGAAAAAGUAACCCUAAUAAUUGGUUGGGCCUCCCCUUAGCAGCAACAACAGCAAUCAGCUUGCAAUGAGUCUCUUCCAGCACCGUGGAGGAAUUUAGCAGAAUUGUUGUCAUUCAGCCACAUUGGAGGCUUUUCCAGCAUGAAGUGCCUUUUUAAGGUCAUGCCACAGCAUCUCAAUAGGAUUCAGGUCAGGACUUGGACUAGGCCACUCCAAAGUCUUCAUCCAUUCAGAGGUGGACUUGCUGGUGUGUUUUGGAUCAUUGUCCUACCGCAGAACCCAAGUUGCUCUCAGCUUGAGGUCACCAGCAGAUGGCCGGACAUUCUCCUUCAGCAGAAUUCAUGCUUCCAUUUAUCACAGCAAGUCUUCCAGGUCCUGAAGCAGCAAAUCAGUCCCAGACCAUCACACUACCACCACCAUAUUUUACGCAUGCUAUGAUGUUUCUGUGUAGGCUCUCAGUCGUACAGGAGUUGUCCAUCGAGGGAAAGGCUUCUUGAGACGUCAUCUGUACUUCUGUGAAGAAGGUGUCGAAGAAGGUGCAGUUCGCUGACAAAGCUCUUCGGAUGAGGAGCGAAACGUCCAACACCUUCUUCACAGAAGUACAGAUGACGUCUCAAGAAGCCUUUCCCUCGUUGCUAUGAUGUUGUUUUUAUGAAAUGCGGCGUUACUUGUAAUGGGACACACACUUUCCAAAAAGUUCAACUUUCUAUUGAGUAUUUUCCAAAAGCUGUUGGGGAUCAUCAAGAUGUUUCCUGGCAAAACUGAGACAAGCCUUAAUGUUGUUUUUGUUCAGCAGUGGUUUUGGUCUUAGAACUCGGCCAUGUAGGCCGUUUUUGCCCAGCGUCUUUCUUAUGAUGGAGUCAUGAACACUGACCUUAACUGAGGCAAGUGAGGCCUGCAGUUCUUUGGAUGUUGUUGUGGGGUCUUUUAUGACCUCUCAGAUGAGUCGUCGCCGCGCUCUUGGGGUCAUUUUGGUUGGCCGGCCACUCCUGGGAAGGUUCACCACUCUUCCAUGUUUUCACCAUUUGUGGAUAAUGGCUCUCACUGUGGUUGGCUGGAGUCUCAAAGCUUUAGAAAUGACUUUAUAACCUUUUCCACAUUUAUAGAUCUCAAUUAAUCUC
Dunckerocampus dactyliophorus (ringed pipefish) is the source of this 3297-nucleotide long non-coding RNA. RefSeq lists it as uncharacterized. The record is from RefSeq and is a predicted model, not a curated record. The transcript is spliced from 3 exons. Lineage: Eukaryota; Metazoa; Chordata; Actinopteri; Syngnathiformes; Syngnathidae.